This 300-nucleotide ribosomal RNA is filed under the name uncultured Phenylobacterium sp. RNAcentral describes it as "bacterial SSU rRNA". It matches the Rfam family "Bacterial small subunit ribosomal RNA", at positions 114 to 431 of the family's 1533-position model. The record is from RNAcentral. Lineage: Bacteria; Pseudomonadati; Pseudomonadota; Alphaproteobacteria; Caulobacterales; Caulobacteraceae.
CACGUGGGAACGUGCCCUUUGGUACGGAACAACUGAGGGAAACUUCAGCUAAUACCGUAUGUGCCCUAUUGGGGAAAGAUUUAUCGCCAUUGGAGCGGCCCGCGUUGGAUUAGCUAGUUGGUGGGGUAAAGGCUCACCAAGGCGACGAUCCAUAGCUGGUCUGAGAGGAUGAUCAGCCACACUGGGACUGAGACACGGCCCAGACUCCUACGGGAGGCAGCAGUGGGGAAUCUUGCGCAAUGGGCGAAAGCCUGACGCAGCCAUGCCGCGUGAAUGAUGAAGGUCUUAGGAUUGUAAAAU